UACGGAGGGAGCUAGCGUUGUUCGGAAUUACUGGGCGUAAAGCGCACGUAGGCGGCUAUUCAAGUCGGGGGUGGAAGCCCGGGGCUCAACCCCGGAACAGCCCUCGAAACUAGAUAGCUAGAAUCUUGGAGAGGCGAGUGGAAUUCCGAGUGUAGAGGUGAAAUUCGUAGAUAUUCGGAAGAACACCAGUGGCGAAGGCGACUCGCUGGACAAGUAUUGACGCUGAGGUGCGAAAGCGUGGGGAGCAAACAGG
Molecule: ribosomal RNA, 253 nt
Filed under: uncultured bacterium
Lineage: Bacteria
Description: partial 16S ribosomal RNA
Rfam family: Bacterial small subunit ribosomal RNA
Source: RNAcentral